RNAcentral lists this transfer RNA (74 nucleotides) under Austrofundulus limnaeus. RNAcentral describes it as "tRNA-Trp". The record is from RNAcentral. Lineage: Eukaryota; Metazoa; Chordata; Actinopteri; Cyprinodontiformes; Rivulidae.
AGGAAUUUAAGUUAACAUAUUAAAACCUAAAACCUUCAAAGUUCUAAAUGAGAGUGAAAACCUUUCAAUUCCUA